ACGAACGCUGGCGGCGUGCUUAACACAUGCAAGUCGAACGGUGAAGCGCCUUCCUUUUUGGUGGGUGUGGAUGAGUGGCGAACGGGUGAGUAACACGUGAGUAACCUGCCCCCUUCUUCUGGAUAACCGCAUGAAAGUGUGGCUAAUACGGGAUAUUCUGGGUCUGUCGCAUGAUGGGUCUGGGAAAGAUAUUGUUUCGGUGGGGGAUGGGCUCGCGGCCUAUCAGCUUGUUGGUGGGUGAUGGCCUACCAAGGCGGUGACGGGUAGCCGGCCUGAGAGGGUGGACGGUCACACUGGGACUGAGACACGGCCCAGACUCCUACGGGAGGCAGCAGUGGGGAAUAUUGCACAAUGGGCGCAAGCCUGAUGCAGCGACGCCGCGUGAGGGAUGGAGGCCUUCGGGUUGUGAACCUCUUUCGCCAGUGAAGCAGGCCUGCCUCGUUUGUGGGUGGGUUGACGGUAGCUGGAUAAGAAGCGCCGGCUAACUACGUG
This 492-nucleotide ribosomal RNA is filed under the name uncultured bacterium. RNAcentral describes it as "partial 16S ribosomal RNA". It matches the Rfam family "Bacterial small subunit ribosomal RNA", at positions 29 to 507 of the family's 1533-position model. The record is from RNAcentral.